This 270-nucleotide ribosomal RNA is filed under the name uncultured archaeon. RNAcentral's name for it is "partial 16S ribosomal RNA". It matches the Rfam family "Archaeal small subunit ribosomal RNA", at positions 477 to 747 of the family's 1478-position model. The record is from RNAcentral.
CAGCACCUCAAGUGGUCAGGAUGAUUAUUGGGCCUAAAGCAUCCGUAGCCGGCGCUGUAAGUUUUCGGUUAAAUCCAUACGCUCAACGUAUGGGCUGCCGGGAAUACUGCAAAGCUAGGGAGUGGGAGAGGUAGACGGUACUCGGUAGGAAGGGGUAAAAUCCUUUGAUCUAUUGAUGACUACCUGUGGCGAAGGCGGUCUACCAGAACACGUCCGACGGUGAGGGAUGAAAGCUGGGGGAGCAAACCAGAUUAGAUACCCGAGUAGUCC